RNAcentral lists this ribosomal RNA (253 nucleotides) under uncultured bacterium. RNAcentral's name for it is "partial 16S ribosomal RNA". It matches the Rfam family "Bacterial small subunit ribosomal RNA", at positions 524 to 776 of the family's 1533-position model. The record is from RNAcentral.
UACGUAGGUGGCAAGCGUUGUCCGGAUUUACUGGGCGUAAAGCGCGUGCAGGCGGCUGGGUAAGUUGGAUGUGAAAUCUCCUGGCUCAACUGGGAGAGGCCGUUCAAUACUACCUGGCUUGAGGGCGACAGAGGGAGGUGGAAUUCCGGGUGUAGUGGUGAAAUGCGUAGAUAUCCGGAGGAACACCAGAGGCGAAGGCGACCUCCUGGGUCGUACCUGACGCUGAGAUGCGGAAGCUAGGGGAGCAAACGGG